This 23-nucleotide non-coding RNA is filed under the name Arabidopsis thaliana (thale cress). Lineage: Eukaryota; Viridiplantae; Streptophyta; Magnoliopsida; Brassicales; Brassicaceae. The record is from RNAcentral.
CGACAGUCUGAGCCAUACCCGAG